UGACACACUUCGGAAAAAUGAUUCCCAACCUGUGGCCCUCCAGGAUGUACCCAAUUCGAGCUGUGAAAUUGCUGUUGUUCAGAAAUAAAGACAUGCAUUGAAGAUUCUAUAUUGGUAGCUGUGUGGCCUGUAUAAGUCUUUACCUGCCUGAUGUUCCAUUUCUUCAUCUAUAAAAUGAACGAUUCAACUCUUGGCUAUUACACGGAUAUGGUUUUCUAACAUAUUCAUGUCCUCUGUGAAUAGUGACAUUUUUUCCAUGCUAAUCCUUGUAUCUUAUUUGUCCUUGCCUUAUGACAUUGGCUAAGAUUUCCACUAAAAUGCUGUAGAGAGAUGAUUUCACCAAGCAUUCUUGUCUUGUUUGUGACUUAACAGGGAAGGCUUUCAGUACUUUGCCAUAGAGUAUGAUGUGUGCUAUAGGUUUUUUCAAAUCAGGUUUAAGGUAUUUCCUUUUAGGGCAGCCCAAGUGGCUCAGCAGUUUAGCAACGCCUUCAGCCCAGGGCCUGAUCCAGGAAACCUGGGAUCAAGUCCCACAUCAGGCUCCCUGCAUGGAGUCUGCUUCUCCCUCUGCCUGUGUUUCUGCCCCCCCCCCUCUCUCUCUCUCUCUCUCUGUCUCUCGUGAGUAAAUAAAUCUUUAAAAAAU
Long non-coding RNA from Nyctereutes procyonoides (raccoon dog), 640 nucleotides. RefSeq lists it as uncharacterized. The transcript is spliced from 3 exons. NCBI's taxonomy places the organism in Eukaryota, Metazoa, Chordata, Mammalia, Carnivora, Canidae. The record is from RefSeq and is a predicted model, not a curated record.